RNAcentral lists this ribosomal RNA (331 nucleotides) under uncultured bacterium. Its description in RNAcentral is "bacterial SSU rRNA". It matches the Rfam family "Bacterial small subunit ribosomal RNA", at positions 28 to 361 of the family's 1533-position model. The record is from RNAcentral.
GACGAACGCUGGCGGCGUGCUUAACACAUGCAAGUCGAGCGGUAAGGCCCUUUCGGGGGUACACGAGCGGCGAACGGGUGAGUAACACGUGGGUGACCUGCCCUCAGCUCUGGGAUAAGCCCGGGAAACUGGGUCUAAUACCGGAUAUGACUCCAUGACGCAUGUUGUGGGGUGGAAAGCCUUGUGCGGCUGAGGAUGGGCCCGCGGCCUAUCAGCUUGUUGGUGGGGUGAUGGCCACCAAGGCGACGACGGGUAGCCGGCCUGAGAGGGCGACCGGCCACACUGGGACUGAGAUACGGCCCAGACUCCUACGGGAGGCAGCAGUGGGGAA